RNAcentral lists this long non-coding RNA (295 nucleotides) under Carica papaya (papaya). Its description in RNAcentral is "long non-coding RNA (CPAP_LNC014681)". Lineage: Eukaryota; Viridiplantae; Streptophyta; Magnoliopsida; Brassicales; Caricaceae. The record is from RNAcentral.
UGUAAGUAGACUAAAGUAAUUAUAAAAAAGAUUCUUAGUUGAUGAAAUAGUUAGCUCCUGUAACGAAGUUGAUCAUAGACGCAAGGAUUCAUUUUACCCAAAAUAUGGCAAACUAGUUAUAGUUGUUAGAAACAUUCUGACAAUGAAUCCUUCUUUAUUCCUAAACCAACCAAGAAACAUUUCUUAGUUGGUUAUUCGCUGUCAAACAGUCCUAUGAAUGUCCACAUGAUUUAACUUAUCAAUGAUCUCGAGAGCUAGGACCUGAUUCAAGUUGCCGGAUUCAUCUGUGUGAACU